Molecule: small nuclear RNA, 26 nt
Filed under: Arabidopsis thaliana (thale cress)
Lineage: Eukaryota; Viridiplantae; Streptophyta; Magnoliopsida; Brassicales; Brassicaceae
Description: snRNA_17412
Source: RNAcentral
ACUAGGAUGGGUGACCUCCCGGGAAG